UACGUAGGGGGCUAGCGUUGUCCGGAUUUAUUGGGCGUAAAGAGCGUGUAGGCGGCCAGGUAGGUCUGGUGUGAAAACUCGAGGCUUAACCUCGAGAUGUCAUCGGAAACCAUCUGGCUAGAGUCCGGAAGAGGAGAGUGGAAUUCCAGGUGUAGCGGUGAAAUGCGUAGAUAUCUGGAAGAACACCGGUGGCGUAAGCGGCUUGCUGGGCUUUAACUGACGCUGAGGAACGAAAGCUAGGGUAACGAAUGGG
RNAcentral lists this ribosomal RNA (253 nucleotides) under uncultured bacterium. RNAcentral describes it as "partial 16S ribosomal RNA". It matches the Rfam family "Bacterial small subunit ribosomal RNA", at positions 524 to 776 of the family's 1533-position model. The record is from RNAcentral.